UACGAAGGGGGCGAGCGUUGUUCGGAUUUACUGGGCGUAAAGGGCGCGUAGGUGGUUCUGUAUGUCUACCGUGAAAGCGUACGGCUCAACCGUAUUUUGUCGGUGGAAACUGCAGGACUUGAGGCUGGGAGGGGCUGGUGGAAUUCCCUGUGUAGCGGUGAAAUGCGUAGAGAUGGGGGAGAACACUCGUGGCGAAGGCGGCCAGCUAGACCAGUUCUGACACUGAGGCGCGACAGCGUGGGGAGCAAACAGG
RNAcentral lists this ribosomal RNA (253 nucleotides) under uncultured bacterium. RNAcentral's name for it is "partial 16S ribosomal RNA". It matches the Rfam family "Bacterial small subunit ribosomal RNA", at positions 524 to 776 of the family's 1533-position model. The record is from RNAcentral.